UAGGACGCUGAUUACAUGUUUCCACCCCAACCCUGGCUUGCCUCCUGUGUUUCCUGCCUCUGUGAAAGAGACUCCCACCCAGCCAGCUGCCCAAGUCAGAAAGCGGCUUGAGAUUCAUGCUGCCUCCUCCUCUCUCACCACCACCAUCCGUGUUCCUCAGGACCUGUCAUCCCAGUGCACACAGCCAGGCCUCUGCGAGACUGUUUCAUAGAUGCUCAAGACACCAGCAAACCAGUGCCACCGAACAAGUAUGAGAAAAGAACAGGCUAGAUUAUGUUAUCCAGAACUUCACAACCAUCAGAUCUAGACAGAAGGAGGUGGACAGUGAACACAGAAAAGCUGUAAGGUGUCCUGUGACAGAUGUAUGUGGUGGACACAGCAGGACCCAGAGGAAGGAAGAAAGAAGCUGCUCUUGAAAAGACCCUCAAACCACGAUGCUCAAGGAAGUGUCGAGAGAUGAAGGAGAGGUGUUUGCCAGGCAGAGCAGGUGGGGAAGGAUAAUCUGAGGAGGAUAGAUAGCCAGUGCAAAGGCUCAGAGCACUUUUGGAGUGCUGCCAGACCAGGG
Long non-coding RNA from Homo sapiens (human), 565 nucleotides. RefSeq lists it as uncharacterized. The record is from RefSeq and is a predicted model, not a curated record. The transcript has 3 exons. Lineage: Eukaryota; Metazoa; Chordata; Mammalia; Primates; Hominidae.